CCUACGGGAGGCAGCAGUGAGGAAUAUUGGUCAAUGGACGAGAGUCUGAACCAGCCAAGUAGCGUGAAGGAUGACUGCCCUAUGGGUUGUAAACUUCUUUUAUAUGGGAAUAAAAUGUUCCACGUGUGGGAUUUUGUAUGUACCAUAUGAAUAAGGAUCGGCUAACUCCGUGCCAGCAGCCGCGGUAAUACGGAGGAUCCGAGCGUUAUCCGGAUUUAUUGGGUUUAAAGGGAGCGUAGGUGGAUUGUUAAGUCAGUUGUGAAAGUUUGCGGCUCAACCGUAAGAUUGCAGUUGAAACUGGCAGUCUUGAGUACAGUAGAGGUGAGCGGAAGUCGAGGUGUAGCGGUGAAAUGCUUAGAUAUCACGAAGAACUCCGAUUGCGAAGGCAGUUCACUGGACUGCAACUGACACUGAGGCUCGAAAGUGUGGGUAUCAAACAGGAUUAGAUACCCUAGUAGUC
This 460-nucleotide ribosomal RNA is filed under the name uncultured bacterium. RNAcentral's name for it is "partial 16S ribosomal RNA". It matches the Rfam family "Bacterial small subunit ribosomal RNA", at positions 338 to 795 of the family's 1533-position model. The record is from RNAcentral.